This 784-nucleotide ribosomal RNA is filed under the name uncultured bacterium. RNAcentral's name for it is "bacterial SSU rRNA". It matches the Rfam family "Bacterial small subunit ribosomal RNA", at positions 8 to 796 of the family's 1533-position model. The record is from RNAcentral.
AGAGUUUGAUCCUGGCUCAGAACGAACGCUGGCGGCGUGCUUAACACAUGCAAGUCGAACGCGAAAGGGACUUCGGUCCCGAGUAGAGUGGCGCACGGGUGAGUAACGCGUAAGUGAUCUACCCCUGUAUUUGGGAUAACUAUGGGAAACUGUAGCUAAUACCGGAUACGUUCUUGUUCUUGCGAGUAUAUGAAGAAAGAUGGCCUCUGAUUCAAGCUAUUGUACAGGGAGGAGCUUGCGUACCAUUAGCUAGUUGGUAGGGUAAAGGCCUACCAAGCCGAUGACGGGUAGCUGGUCUGAGAGGAUGGUCAGCCACACUGGAACUGAAACACGGUCCAGACUCCUACGGGAGGCAGCAGUGAGGAAUAUUGCGCAAUGGACGAAAGUCUGACGCAGCAACGCCGCGUGGGCGAUGAAGGCCUUCGGGUCGUAAAGCUCUUUUCUGGGGGACGAGGAAGGACGGUACCUCAGGAAUAAGCCUCGGCUAACUACGUGCCAGCAGCCGCGGUAAAACGUAGGAGGCGAGCGUUAUCCGGAUUUAUUGGGCGUAAAGCGCAUGCAGGUGGUGCCACAAGUCGGAUGUGAAAGCUCCUGGCUUAACUGGGAGAGGUCGUUCGAAACUGUGGGACUGGAGGUCGGAAGAGGGAAGCGGAAUUCCCGGUGUAGUGGUGGAAUGCGUAGAUAUCGGGAGGAACACCAGUGGCGGAAGCGGCUUCCUGGUCCGCACCUGACACUCAGAUGCGAAAGCGUGGGGAGCGAACAGGAUUAGAUACCCUGGUAGUCC